CCGGAGACAGGUGCUGCUGCUCGUUUGCUCAAUCACCCAUCACAUAAUGGUUUAACACUUAUAUUUUGGGCAUUGCACUAGUUGCGAAGGAUAUAUAAAUGAACAAGUCAUCGCAUUCUAGUGCGGGGGCGUCCUACAAGAAGCAGUUUAGCAAACGGGUAUAAAAUACGACAGCUGGUACCAUGGACUGUGAAGAAACAUAAGAAGCGUGUGAGCUACUGUGAGGGACGAGCCACAGAGAGCAAAAGGAGACAACAGAACAGACACCAAGAGGCCGCAGGAGAUGCUUAAAAGAAUAAAAGCUGCAAUGACAUGAUGUGUAUAUAACCAAAUGAAGGGGAGGGCUAGGAGCUGCUUAUAAGGCAACGGGAGACAUGACAAGAAGAAUGGGAAGAGAAACAGAGGCACGGGGAGCAGAAUCAGAAAAGUCUCACGACGAAAUCCCAGGCGAAGAAACUAAAACGACAGGCAGACACAGCAGUCACGGGUUUUCUAAACACAGACCCAGGGAGCGUGGUGCUUCUCAAGGAGGACACAGAGAAAAUGAAGCUGCACUUUGCACCUCUGAGGGAAACUUCAGAUGGAGAGAAGUGAGGAGAACAGUCACGGAGAAAGGACAGUGUGCAACGUGAGCUUCUCCAUCCCUAGCCACAGUGAUGGGCUGGGAGACUGCAGUAGGGUCCCCAAAGGGAGGCGAACAAAGAAAUGUCAGCUAGGAUUGCCUGCAGCAAACAGCCCUUUCAUAAACUAAGGCAC
This is a long non-coding RNA of Rattus norvegicus (Norway rat), 756 nucleotides long. The record is from Ensembl. Lineage: Eukaryota; Metazoa; Chordata; Mammalia; Rodentia; Muridae.